This 407-nucleotide ribosomal RNA is filed under the name uncultured bacterium. RNAcentral describes it as "bacterial SSU rRNA". It matches the Rfam family "Bacterial small subunit ribosomal RNA", at positions 354 to 776 of the family's 1533-position model. The record is from RNAcentral.
GUGGGGAAUAUUGGGCAAUGGGCGCAAGCCUGACCCAGCAACGCCGCGUGAAGGAAGAAGGCUUUCGGGUUGUAAACUUCUUUUGACAGGGAAGAGUAGAAGACGGUACCUGUCGAAUAAGCCACGGCUAACUACGUGCCAGCAGCCGCGGUAAUACGUAGGUGGCAAGCGUUGUCCGGAUUUACUGGGUGUAAAGGGCGUGUAGCCGGGUUGACAAGUCAGAUGUGAAAUCCUGCGGCUUAACCGCAGAACUGCAUUUGAAACUGUUGAUCUUGAGUACUGGAGAGGCAGACGGAAUUCCUAGUGUAGCGGUGAAAUGCGUAGAUAUUAGGAGGAACACCAGUGGCGAAGGCGGUCUGCUGGACAGCAACUGACGGUGAGGCGCGAAAGCGUGGGGAGCAAACAGG